GGUACGGACGGGCGAGUGGUGGCGGGCAUUCGUAGGGCGGGAGCGGUGUCCGCGAUGAUUGGGCGUUGAGCGAUCGGAGGCGGUCGGGUGGGUGUGCUGUGAGAGCCCGGGGCGUAACCCGGGGCGUGCAGGGGAUACGGGCAGGCUUGAGGAACGCAGGGGAGAACUGAGUGCGCGGUGUAGCGGUGAAAUGCGCAGAUAUCGGGAGGAACACCGGUGGCGAAGGCGGUUCUCUGGGCCUGUGCUGACGCUGAGGAGCGAAAGCGUGUGGAGCGAACAGGAUUAGAUACCCGUGUAGUC
RNAcentral lists this ribosomal RNA (300 nucleotides) under uncultured Bacillus sp. RNAcentral describes it as "bacterial SSU rRNA". The stretch from base 55 to 300 matches the Rfam family "Bacterial small subunit ribosomal RNA", at positions 550 to 795 of the family's 1533-position model. Lineage: Bacteria; Bacillati; Bacillota; Bacilli; Caryophanales; Bacillaceae. The record is from RNAcentral.